AGUGAACGCUGGCGGUAGGCCUAACACAUGCAAGUCGAACGGCAACACAGUAAGAGCUUGCUCUUACGGGUGGCGAGUGGCGGACGGGUGAGGAAUACAUCGGAAUCUACUUUUUCGUGGGGGAUAACGUAGGGAAACUUACGCUAAUACCGCAUACGACCUACGGGUGAAAGCAGGGGAUCUUCGGACCUUGCGCGAUUGAAUGAGCCGAUGUCGGAUUAGCUAGUUGGCGGGGUAAAGGCCCACCAAGGCGACGAUCCGUAGCUGUUCUGAGAGGAUGAUCAGCCACACUGGAACUGAGACACGGUCCAGACUCCUACGGGAGGCAGCAGUGGGGAAUAUUGGACAAUGGGCGCAAGCCUGAUCCAGCCAUACCGCGUGGGUGAAGAAGGCCUUCGGGUUGUAAAGCCCUUUUGUUGGGAAAGAAAAGCAGCAGGUUAAUACCCCGCUGUUCUGACGGUACCCAAAGAAUAAGCACCGGCUAACUUCGUG
RNAcentral lists this ribosomal RNA (492 nucleotides) under uncultured bacterium. Its description in RNAcentral is "partial 16S ribosomal RNA". It matches the Rfam family "Bacterial small subunit ribosomal RNA", at positions 29 to 507 of the family's 1533-position model. The record is from RNAcentral.